Molecule: ribosomal RNA, 254 nt
Filed under: uncultured bacterium
Lineage: Bacteria
Description: partial 16S ribosomal RNA
Rfam family: Bacterial small subunit ribosomal RNA
Source: RNAcentral
UACGUAGGGGGCGAGCGUUGUCCGGAAUCAUUGGGCGUAAAGAGCUCGUAGGCGGUUCAGCGAGUCGGCUGUGAAAUUCCGAGGCUCAACCUCGGAACUGCAGUCGAUACUGCUGUGACUCGAGUCCGGUAGAGGAGAAUGGAAUUCCCGGUGUAGCGGUGAAAUGCGCAGAUAUCGGGAGGAACACCAGUAGCGAAGGCGGUUCUCUGGGCCGGUACUGACGCUGAGGAGCGAAAGCGUGGGGAGCAAACAGG